RNAcentral lists this ribosomal RNA (465 nucleotides) under Vreelandella stevensii. Its description in RNAcentral is "partial 16S ribosomal RNA". It matches the Rfam family "Bacterial small subunit ribosomal RNA", at positions 338 to 795 of the family's 1533-position model. Lineage: Bacteria; Pseudomonadati; Pseudomonadota; Gammaproteobacteria; Oceanospirillales; Halomonadaceae. The record is from RNAcentral.
CCUACGGGUGGCAGCAGUGGGGAAUAUUGGACAAUGGGCGAAAGCCUGAUCCAGCCAUGCCGCGUGUGUGAAGAAGGCCUUCGGGUUGUAAAGCACUUUCAGUGGGGAAGAAAGCCUUGGGGCUAAUACCCUCGAGGAAGGACAUCACCCACAGAAGAAGCACCGGCUAACUCCGUGCCAGCAGCCGCGGUAAUACGGAGGGUGCGAGCGUUAAUCGGAAUUACUGGGCGUAAAGCGCGCGUAGGCGGUCUGAUAAGCCGGUUGUGAAAGCCCCGGGCUCAACCUGGGACCGGCAUCCGGAAGGGGUGGGAAAGAGUGGGGGAGAGAGAGUGAGGAGGCGAGGUGGAACGGUGACAUGGGGAGACGUCGGGAGGGAGAGGAGGGGGGAGGGAGGCAGGAAAGAAGGAAACGAAAGCGGUGGAGCGAAAUACGGGGUAGCAAACGGGAGUAGAAAGAAGGGGAGUC